Molecule: long non-coding RNA, 3784 nt
Filed under: Olea europaea subsp. europaea
Lineage: Eukaryota; Viridiplantae; Streptophyta; Magnoliopsida; Lamiales; Oleaceae
Source: RNAcentral
CUUUUUACAAUUUCCAAAUAAACCCUAACUCUACAUAUUAUAAAUAUCCAAGACAAAUCCCUAGAGUAUAAAACAUUUAUUCAUUCAAGAGAAUACAAUAUUGAAGAUAAUUACUCAUCCAAAAUUCUCUUGCCUCAAUCACAUGAUUGAAACAUUGAAAAUCUAAAAGAUCAAAACACCAAAUAAAUCUUUACCAAAUAUCUUUCAAAGUUCUGAAGAUCUAAAGAGGUGACUAGAGUUUCAAUUCGUGAAGAACAAGUUCGUUCUUGGUGAUCCACAAAAAGAAAAGAAGUCCAGAGGUUCUUGAGCUGGUGUUCAAGCCCACAAUCGAGAGGAUCUUCAGUGAUUACAGGUUGGGGUUCAGAGUCUACUAAAGUUUAAUUAUGCUUGGAACAAAUCUGUAAGUUUAAUAUUUUUAGUAGAUUAUUACUGGCAAGUUUGUCCGGAGAUUUUCUCUUGAAGAGUUCUUUAAGGAUUUUUUCUUCGUAAAUAAAUCUUGGUGUUGUUUACUUUUACGCAUUUACUUUCUUGCUUGUGUGAUUGUCCUACUAUAAACUGUUUACAAAUCAUCUAAAUGUAAUAAUCUGUGACUUGUUGUAAUUACUGGAUAUUAAAUUUUAAAUUCAACAUGUUACACCUAUUCACCAUCCUCCAGGUGUAAGCUAUGUCAAACCUCGCUAUUUUAAUUGGUAUCAGAGCCUUAUUUUCUUUCUUGAACUAGCUUUAUGUAGAUGAGUCAACCACUAUUUGUUUCUCUUUACUUUGAUGGAAGUAAUUAUGCUUACUAGAAUAUUAAGAUGAGAGCCUUUUGAAAUUUAUGGAUGAGAGAGAUUGGGUGAGUGUAGAGAAAGGUCGAACAUCAUUUACAUUUGUUAGUUUUGUUACACCUACAUAUGUUUUCACUUAUAUUAAGGAUGAAUUAGUUGAGUGUAACUAAAAUAGUAAAGCAGUUCAUGCCAUUUUUAUGACUAUAUCAUCUGAAGAGUUUAAACCAGUGCAUAUAUGUGAGAUUGUUAUAGAAGUUUGUGAUAUUUUAGAAACCACCAUGAGGGAACUAAGAUUGUGAAAAAAUCUAAGUUGCAUAUGUAGAUCACUAUGUUUGAGGAAAUAAGGAUGAAAGAUCAUGAAUCCUAUGAUGAAUUCUAUGCUAAAUUGAAUGACAUAGUGAAUUUUAGUUUCAACCUCGGCGAACGAAUUCUUGAGACCAAAAUUGUGAUAAACAUUCUAAGAUCUCUAUUUGAGAGGUUUAAUCUAAGGUCACUAUUAUUGACGAAAGCAAAGACUUAGAUACAGUUAAGAUACAAAAACUUGUUGGAUUACUCCGAAACUAUGACCUAACCAUAUCUCACUUGAAGAAAAUAAGUAUAUUGCCUUAAAUAUUGUUAAGGAAGUGACAUGUUAAAAGAUGAGGAUGUUGCUUAUUUUGUUAAAAAAUUUAAGAAAUUUUGGGCAAAAUAAUAAGAGACCCUAGGAAAAAUACAAGAGUAGCUCUAGUAAAUUCAGGAAAGAAAGGAAAGAAGAAAGAUACUGGGAUGUCGGGAAAAAUUUCUUAACGUGUCAAACGUCAUGAGUGAUAGGAAUUUGGUCACAUUAUAGUUGAGUGACUUAGUAAUAAGUGGACCUUAGGUAAGGCUAUUAAUGUGUCUCUCACUAAUGAUGAGUCUAACUUAGGUAAUCAAAGUGAUUCUCCCAGUUCUGAGGAGUGUUCGAACUAUAUGACUUUUAUAACUGUGGUUAAGAGUGAAUCUAAAAAGGAAAGUGAGAAUGUUGAGAAUUUAGAACAGAAUAACUCUUUAGAUGAAGGAUCUAAAGAUGAAAGGGAGAUAUAUGAAGCUUGUGAUCAGCUUUUUGAGGAAAGUCUUAAGUUGAAUAUUGUGGUCAAACUUGAGGAAUCAACUAGAAGUAUGAAUUAGUUGAAGGUUGAGAAAGAGGUACUCUUGUGAGUGAUUAUGAGAAAUCUCAUACCCACCUUUGCUCUUUCUCUAAUGGAUUUAAGAAAACUUGACAAUAUCUUAGGAUUUAAAAAACUUGCUGGAAAUAAGGGAGGUUUAAUCUAUAGUGAAAAAGGAUCUCAUGCCACUACCUCUUCCGAAAACACAUUUGUACCUAUCUCUAUCAAGACCAAGAGUUUAGAAGUCACUAAACCCAAGAAAAGGAAAUCCUAGGAAAAAGGUCAUCUAUACAGUGUAGGGUUAGUCAACCUAAAGUCCAAAACUUGAAAUCUAGUGUUGAUCAUUUUUGACAAAUUUUCAUUUUGUUGGUAUCUCUUUACCUCCAUCUGACGCUUAGCAUUCUUGAAUCACAAUCUUGCAACACAACUUUUGAUUUAUUACAUUUUAGUCCCCACAGUUUUGAUUUCACUAUUUUUCUCUAUUUUUUUCACUUGUUUUCUCUAAUCCUUCGUCAAAUCAUAAUUUUACUUAUUAAACAUGAUAUAACACAAAUUAGGCAAUAUUUCAUCAAAAGAACUAUUAAAUAUCAAUAAGUAUAGCCCUAAAUAAGUGUAUAAAAUAUACUUAUCAUCAACUAUCAUUAAUUGUCAAGCAGCAAGCUCGUAUGAUAGUCGACAUUCCAUUACUUCAAUCCAUAUCUAACUGGCUUACAAUGGAUGUUGCUACACUUCAGAGGAUGUUCAAUCGAUGACAUAUCACUGGGAGAGUGAUCUAACAUAGAUGAUGCUUUGAGUCAGAGUAGAUUAUUGGGUAUCCUUUUGUUAUUCAUAACAAAAAAGGAGAUAAGAGUAUUUUGAUUCGGGAGUAGUAGUAAUAGUACUAAUAUUUAUUUGUAUUUUAAAAUUUGGCUAGCAAACAUUGCAUUUUGAUGUUUUGUAAUAUUGAUAUUAGGUUUGGUGUUUUGUAUAAUAUUGAUAUUAUAUCUUGAUGUUGCUAGCUUGGUAUAUGUUAAGCGAAAUGCUAUCUCAAUCGAUGCAUGCUAACUUUUUAUAUGUUUUCACGUACUUUCACACUUGGCAUUUGAGUUUAUGUAUUUCAAAAAACAUGUUGUACAAAACAAUGAAUAUGGUGUUGUGAUUCUAGGUUUAGUUUUGAUAGGAGUAAGAUUUUGUUUGUUGUGUACUCGAAAUAAAUGAUUUUGUCAUGAAAUGUCAAAUGGAGAGUUUGUCAGGUCCCAAAUAUAUUAGCAAUUUUCAUGUCCAAAAUGUUAAUUAAUUGAAUAAGUUUCAGGGAUUCAGAGGGUAUUUUGAAGGAAUCAAAGUCAACUCGAGAAGAUCAAGAAAAAGGAAAAUCGCUCAUCGACUGCCAGCAGACUGCUUGAGCGAUUUUAAUAGAAAGAGACCGCCCGCUAGGAGCCAAAUAGGCACAUGAACGACAGUGAUAUCUAGGUAAAAUCUGGUUCGCAAUUUUGUCUUUUUACAAUCCCAAAUAAACACUAACUCUACAUAUUAUAUAUACCUAAGCCAAAACUCAUCCCUAUUAAAUGUUACGCCUAUUCAUUCAAGAUAACACAAUAUUGAAGAUCAAUUACUCAUUACAAAAUUCUCUUGCCUCAACUAUAAGAUUAAAACAUCGAAAAUCCAAAUGAUCAAAGCACCAAAUAAACCUCUACAAAAUAUCUUUCAGAGUCCAAAGAGGUGUCUGGAGUUUCAAUUCAUGAAGAAUGCAUUCGCUUUUGGUGAUCUACCAGGAGAAAGUAAGUCCAAAGGUUCUAGAGCUGGUGCUUGAGCGCACAACCUAGGAGUUCGCCGGUGAUUAUACGUUGGGGUAAGAGUCUAUUAAUGUUUAGUUGUGUAUGGACCAAUCCUGUAAGUUUAAUAUUUCCACUGGAU